GAUGAACGCUAGCUACAGGCUUAACACAUGCAAGUCGAGGGGCAGCACAGUGUAGCAAUACAUGGGUGGCGACCGGCGCACGGGUGCGUAACGCGUAUCCAACCUUCCCGUUACUCUUGGAUAGCCUUCCGAAAGGGAGAUUAAUACAAGAUGGUAUUCAAAUUCCGCAUGUUAUUUGAAUUAAAGAUUUAUCGGUAACGGAUGGGGAUGCGUGACAUUAGAUAGUAGGCGGGGUAACGGCCCACCUAGUCUACGAUGUCUAGGGGUUCUGAGAGGAAGGUCCCCCACACUGGAACUGAGACACGGUCCAGACUCCUACGGGAGGCAGCAGUGGGGAAUAUUGCGCAAUGGGGGAAACCCUGACGCAGCAACGCCGCGUGGAGGAAGAAGGUUUUCGGAUCGUAAACUCCUGUCCUCAGGGAAGAGCAGAAGACGGUACCUGAGGAGGAAGCCCCCGGCUAACUACGUG
This 469-nucleotide ribosomal RNA is filed under the name uncultured bacterium. Its description in RNAcentral is "bacterial SSU rRNA". It matches the Rfam family "Bacterial small subunit ribosomal RNA", at positions 28 to 507 of the family's 1533-position model. The record is from RNAcentral.